GUUCCGGUAGCUCAGUUGGUAGAGCACCGGUAGCUCAGUGGUAAGCGCUUAGCAAUAACUGGCAGGAGGUCGCAGGAUCGAAGCCUGCCCGGGAUC
Meloidogyne enterolobii is the source of this 96-nucleotide non-coding RNA. The record is from the annotation of a GenBank genome assembly. NCBI's taxonomy places the organism in Eukaryota, Metazoa, Nematoda, Chromadorea, Rhabditida, Meloidogynidae.